Molecule: ribosomal RNA, 468 nt
Filed under: uncultured bacterium
Lineage: Bacteria
Description: partial 16S ribosomal RNA
Rfam family: Bacterial small subunit ribosomal RNA
Source: RNAcentral
GACGAACGCUGGCGGCGUGCUUAACACAUGCAAGUCGAACGGAAAGGCCCUGCUUUUGUGGGGUGCUCUAGUGGCGAACUGGUGAGUAACACUUGAGUAACCUGCCCUUGACUUUGGGAUAACUUCAGGAAACUUGGUCUAAUACCGGAUAGGAUCUCCUGCUUCAUGGUGGGGGUUGGAAAGUUUCGGCGGUUGGUGAUGGACUCGCGUCUUAUCAGCUUGUUGGUGGGGUAGUGGCUUACCAAGGCUUUGACGGGUAGCCGGCCUGAGAGGGUGACCGGCCACAUUGGGACUGAGAUACGGCCCAGACUACUACGGGAGGCAGCAGUGGGGAAUAUUGCACAAUGGGCGGAAGCCUGAUGCAGCAACGCAGCGUGCGGGAUGACGGCCUUCGGGUUGUAAACCGCUUUCGCCUGUGACGAAGCGUGAGUGACGGUAAUGGGUAAAGAAGCACCGGCUAACUACGUG